This 274-nucleotide ribosomal RNA is filed under the name uncultured bacterium. Its description in RNAcentral is "partial 16S ribosomal RNA". It matches the Rfam family "Bacterial small subunit ribosomal RNA", at positions 523 to 796 of the family's 1533-position model. The record is from RNAcentral.
AGACGGAGGGGGCUAGCGUUGUUCGGAAUUACUGGGCGUAAAGCGCGCGUAGGCGGUCCGCGUAGUCAGGCGUGAAAGCCCCGGGCUCAACCUGGGAACUGCGCUUGAUACUGGCGGGCUAGAGUCCGGGAGAGGGUAGCGGAAUUCCCAGUGUAGAGGUGAAAUUCGUAGAUAUUGGGAAGAACACCAGUGGCGAAGGCGGCUACCUGGACCGGUACUGACGCUGAGGUGCGAAAGCGUGGGGAGCAAACAGGAUUAGAAACCCCAGUAGUCC